GGGGAUUUAGCUCAGUGGUAGAGCGCUUGCCUAGCAAGCGCAAGGCCCUGGGUUCGGUCCCCAGCCCCG
Non-coding RNA from Rattus norvegicus (Norway rat), 69 nucleotides. The record is from Rfam. NCBI's taxonomy places the organism in Eukaryota, Metazoa, Chordata, Mammalia, Rodentia, Muridae.